UGGGGAAUAUUGGACAAUGGGCGAAAGCCUGAUCCAGCCAUGCCGCGUGUGUGAAGAAGGUCUUCGGAUUGUAAAGCACUUUAAGUUGGGAGGAAGGGCAGUAAGCGAAUACCUUGCUGUUUUGACGUUACCGACAGAAUAAGCACCGGCUAACUCUGUGCCAGCAGCCGCGGUAAUACAGAGGGUGCAAGCGUUAAUCGGAAUUACUGGGCGUAAAGCGCGCGUAGGUGGUUCGUUAAGUUGAAUGUGAAAGCCCCGGGCUCAACCUGUGAACUGCAUCCAAAACUGGCGGGCUAGAGUAGGGCAGAGGGUGGUGGAAUUUCCUGUGUAGCGGUAAAAUGCGUAGAUAUAGGAAGGAACACCAGUGGCGAAGGCGACCACCUGGGCUCAUACUGACACUGAGGUGCGAAAGCGUGGGGAGCAAACAGG
Molecule: ribosomal RNA, 429 nt
Filed under: Pseudomonadota bacterium
Lineage: Bacteria; Pseudomonadati; Pseudomonadota
Description: Proteobacteria bacterium partial 16S ribosomal RNA
Rfam family: Bacterial small subunit ribosomal RNA
Source: RNAcentral